RNAcentral lists this unclassified non-coding RNA (437 nucleotides) under Hevea brasiliensis (rubber tree). Lineage: Eukaryota; Viridiplantae; Streptophyta; Magnoliopsida; Malpighiales; Euphorbiaceae. The record is from RNAcentral.
GGGGUUUCCUUGAUUAGUAUGAACUUAUUUUUCAUUUGUGCCCAUGAAACGGGGAAGAAUAAUAUUGACAGGAUGAGCAUUGAUGGAAUGCUCCCAUACAAUUGGAAAUAACGUAAAAUCAUAAAAUUGCAAUUAUAAUAAAUGUUGCCCCUCAUUUUCAGCUUCGUCUUCAUCUCCCUCAGAGUUUGUUGAUGUGUCAUCUUCAUUCUCGUCCUCAUCCAAAUCCUGAAUUAUAGAGCCAAAUAAACUAAUUAGCCCAAGGAUUUUUUCCUUUUUCAAGAUAACUCCCACUAGCAUCUUGCUCAUAAGGACUUAGUUACUGCUUCAACUUGCAAGCAGAUCAAUAUAUGAUUGGAGAUGGUGAAGUUUUUGAGCAGAGGCCACUCUUUAUAAAACAAUGCUAACCUGAUAACGUCUCCGAAUGCUUUUCUGAAUGG